GAUGAAGAACGCAGCGAAAUGCGAUAAUUAAUGUGAAUUGCAGAAUUCAGUGAAUCAUCGAGUCUUUGAACGCACAUUGCGCCCCCUGGUAUUCCGGGGGGCAUGCCUGUCCGAGCGUCAUUGCUGCCCUCAAGCACGGCUUGUGUGUUGGGCUUCCGUCCCUGGCAACGGGGACGGGCCCAAAAGGCAGUGGCGGCACCAUGUCUGGUCCUCGAGCGUAUGGGGCUUUGUCACCCGCUCCCGUAGGUCCAGCUGGCAGCUAGCCUCGCAACCAAUCUUUUAAACCAGGUUGACCUCGGAUCAGGUAGGGAUACCCGCUGAACUUAAGCAUAUCAAUAAGCGGAGGA
Molecule: unclassified non-coding RNA, 347 nt
Filed under: soil metagenome
Description: partial contains 5.8S ribosomal RNA, internal transcribed spacer 2, and large subunit ribosomal RNA
Rfam family: 5.8S ribosomal RNA (bases 1-120)
Source: RNAcentral